CGACAAUGAAGUUCAGCGAGUUAUCGGACAUGCCUUGGCCGACCAUGGGCUGAUCUAGAACGACUGGGAUGCCAAGGGAUUUGAGUUGGGACAUGGGACCGAUGCCGCUGAGCAUGAGUAGAUGGGGGCUGCCGAUGGCGCCGGCGGAGAGGAUGACCUCGCCGGAGUUGAGAUAAGCUAUGUGUUGUUUACCGUCUGUGUCACGGAAUGCCACACCACGGG
This 222-nucleotide unclassified non-coding RNA is filed under the name Hevea brasiliensis (rubber tree). Lineage: Eukaryota; Viridiplantae; Streptophyta; Magnoliopsida; Malpighiales; Euphorbiaceae. The record is from RNAcentral.